CCUACGGGUGGCAGCAGUGAGGAAUAUUGGUCAAUGGGCGCGAGCCUGAACCAGCCAAGUAGCGUGAAGGAUGACUGCCCUACGGGUUGUAAACUUCUUUUAUAAAGGAAUAAAGUGAGGCACGUGUGCCUUUUUGUAUGUACUUUAUGAAUAAGGAUCGGCGAACUCCGUGCCAGCAGCCGCGGUAAUACGGAGGAUCCGAGCGUUAUCCGGAUUUAUUGGGUUUAAAGGGAGCGUAGAUGGGUUUUUAAGGCAGUUGUGAAAGUUGUCGGCUCAACCGUAAAAUUGCAAGUGAUACUGGCAGUCGUGAGUGCAGUUGAGGUAGGCGGAAUUCGAGGUGUAGCGGUGAAAUGCUUAGAUAUCACGAAGAACACCGAUUGCGAAGGCAGCUUACUAAGCUGCCACUGACGUUGAUGCUCGAAAGUGUGGGUAUCAAACAGGAUUAGAUACCCCUGUAGUC
RNAcentral lists this ribosomal RNA (460 nucleotides) under uncultured bacterium. RNAcentral's name for it is "partial 16S ribosomal RNA". It matches the Rfam family "Bacterial small subunit ribosomal RNA", at positions 338 to 795 of the family's 1533-position model. The record is from RNAcentral.